Molecule: long non-coding RNA, 2244 nt
Organism: Glossina fuscipes
Lineage: Eukaryota; Metazoa; Arthropoda; Insecta; Diptera; Glossinidae
Exons: 2
Source: RefSeq, a predicted model, not a curated record
AACGUUGUUUACUUAUAGCUUGAUUUUUAUAUUCAACCAUUAUCGCGUAUUUAUAAUAUUCAUUCUGCCUAUCCAUAGACACUGCAUACAAAUGUAUACGAAUAGCAAAUCUUGUGCUCGACAAUUUCACACGUGGAAAAAAACAUCUAUAGAAAUAUAUUUUUGCAACUAACACUAUGCCAGCGAAAAUUAUUGCAAACGAGCUACCAGCUUCGUUUCGGGAUUGCGAUAAUAUUUGCAAGGAAUGUGACAAAGCUUUCGUGACGGCAGCGGGAUUUGAAUAAAAUUCCGACAAACAGGUAAACAUAAGCAAACCGAACUAGAGUUCUUAUUAGAAUAAGUUAGGCUGUCGUUGAAACACAAAAUCCUUGUAAUGUACAUUUCAACAUCGGAAAAAUAUCGUAACACUUUUUAGCUGAAAGUUAAUGAAGUUGCAUUAAUUCACGUUCACUCACUCACCCACCUAAAAGGAAGCUGUUCUAUGUGCCCUAAUAAUUUUUCAUUGAUUUCUCUCUGUUCUCGAGCGAACGAUAUUCGUUUCUGUUAGCAUAACGCCUCGUAAAAGAUCUCGAAGAAUUUCCGCAAGAAACUAAAAUUUCUUGGCAGAGACUUUCUACUGCCACUACUACUACAAGCUAAAUUACUCCUCAAUAAAGAAUCUAUUAUGGAAUUGAAAUAUCCAAUGUCCGAUUUAUUGUAUUGUAAAUUAUCUUGCAAUUUGUACUCGAUGGAUCUUUGAUUCGCACUUUGUCUAUAGCGAACAAUGAUAUGAGACAUGUUAACCUAUGAUACUCUAACGCGAUAUAAUGAACACUAUAACGGUUCAAAGCUAUUAGCUAAGUUAUUUGAGAUCACAAUUUCCUUUCAACCUGAACUAAGCAUAAUAAGCAGCAUACGAAAAUCGCACACAAAACUUUUGCUAGAAUAUGUUGUAAAAUAUAUUGAGAAAGGAAAAGAAAAAAAAAAAAAAAAGAAAAAUUAUUAACUGAAAUUCUAGCGAAUUGUAAGAGAGACUAGUACCUGGGACGUAUACAAUAUGAUUGUCAAAUCUAUAGUAUCUGAAAAUGCCUACAACAACAAUAUAUGAAUUUCUUGCUUUGCUUGCACAGAUAGCAAUUUAUAUAACAGAUUGGUAAUAGAUAGGGCUACCGGGGAUCAAUCAUAGAUGCAUACAGCAUAAGCUUCAUUGACGUUCGCAUAUUAUCCGAAUUUGAAAUAAACGAAAGUUCACUCUUCACUUAAUGCAGUAGUUAUUCAUUGAACGAACCUUUUAAAAACAAGGCGUGACAAAUGAUUCGAUCCUAAUAUUUUCAAUAGCACUCACCCUUGAGGGCCGAGACACGCGGUCGAUAGAGAAAAUUUCAUCAAAAUAUCCCAAAAAUUGCGGCCUUAUAGGUUGAGCAUAAAAGUGGAGAGACAAAUGGACACAUGGACAGACCAGCUUAGGUGUUGUAUACAUUCGUAUAAAGUUGAUCUACGCUUAUGCUGCAAGUCCAGUACGAUGCGAAAACGAAUCAUAAGUUUGGUAGAAAAGUUCGUAUCUUUGAUAUUCGAGCAAUGUAGAGAACAUUGUCACUUUAUAGUCGCAGACAUCUUCUAGGUGACCUUCACGGAAAUUCGACACAACUGUGUGACGGAUUUUAGGCAUUUUUUGCGUAAAGACUUAAAUUUGUAGGCGUAUAAGACGGUUUUAGAUGAAGACAAUACGAGUAAAGCUUGCGAUGCUAGCAUAUCCACAGCUGUAGAGCUACUUUUCGGUUCAGUGAUUUUGUUAAUAAAAACAGAUGCAACAAGAAGCUUACGUAAAACAGGCUUCUACUUUUAACAAUAAUAUGCUUGAUGCUUGGUGAUGAUGAGUAUCAAGGUAGCGUGGAGCAUGGAGCAAACAAAAGCUACGCCAUACCAAUUUGAGUGGCGACUGCCGGUUGGCCAUUCUUUCAACAAAUCGCAAGCGAUCUCCGAUUUUUAGUUGCAAUGAAAUCCGUAAUAUAUCAUUGAAUCGGUAAAGACGUUGCAUUAUCAGAAACAAAGUGAAAAAAGUCUCUUAUCUGUCUAUAUAUAGAUUUAGCAAUGAUCUUAAUGACAAUAUAUGUAUCUGACCUGAUUCGACAAAAUCGAUGAGCGACUCUUCUAGUUUGCUUGCUGUCGCGCAUAUUUUUGAAUUCAAACUGGAACUCAUCGCUAGCUCAAGAUUCAAAGUAAAAAUCGAAAGAGAAGUGGAGAAAGUUUCACGCGAAGAGAAUU